AUAUAAUGAGACAACAGGAUGGCCAUAAUACGGCCCCUCACUAUUACUGGCAGGUGGUGCCAAAAUGAUGUGACAGCAGCAUUUACACAUGAAAUCUCACCGAACAUUUGUCCUUUUCAGCAGCACAUAACCCAGCCGUCCUGCCUGUCGCCAUAACAACGCCACAGCCCCUCUGUCACAGUAGCCCCAUGCAGUCAGACCACGGUUCGGGGGGGAGAGGGGGAAGUCUUGGUGGAGCGACAACAGACGUGAAUGAGAAGUCGAGACACUUCCACCCCUGUGAACUUGAACUUGACUGACAGUCUGAGCGACUGGCGGGAGAGAAUGGAAAUCAACUCUGUGAUUCAGUUCCCAUCAUCCUGUUCAUGAUGCACAUUUUAUGUUUAUAAAAUAUGUCUGAAAACUAUAUUGUAAGAAUCAUAUCAACGUGUUGCCUGUUCAGGAGAAAAAAACAAAUUUGGACCAACUAUUUAUGUCGUGCCAGUUCGUAAAAAUAAUAUUCAACUGUGAAGGCAUUUUUAAAUUUGAAAUUUAAUUUCAAUCAAUAAUACAUUUUUUAAAUUCGUGAUAAAACAUUAAUUUAUCUCUGUGUUUUUCAAUACAGCCAAUGACAAUAAUAAUAAAGUUGUAUUGAUGAUAGUAAUAUUAAUGAAGAAUCUGCAAUAUUAUAUUAUUUGUAUUUGGCUGUAAUAAUUGUAUCAGAAUCAUCAUGAUUAUAGAGCUAAUGCUCAGUGUCUCAUAUUAUAAGUGUUCAACGUCGUCUCUCUGCCUCAGACUCCCUGUUUGCUCCAUACUGAAGCUGUUAAAAAUCAUCUGGUCCACAUCAGGGGUCUGAGCCACCCAGACUCAGUGGACCAUGGGAAAAUAAACAGAGUUGUGAAAAGGUCCCCUGUCGCUGUGGCAAAGCUAAGAACGAGCCGUAGCAGGAUAAUCGCAUGUACUCCCAGAUUAAGAAGGGAUGCAGCUGUGGGGGCUGCAGAGGUGUAAUGAUCCAUUGAUUCAAUCAUCCACCUUAAGGAGACGGCUCAGGUGGGUCUAUGAGGCUGGGCCGACCUGUUGGGACUUAACCUGUUCACGGUCAUUAUCAUGGCACCGUCAUUGACAACAAAAGCUGUUUUUCUUUCCCUUAGAGAGUGCCUGAAAGUUAUCUGUAUGUUAAUCUGGACUUUAUUCUGUGUAUCUCUGAUGUCUGUGUGAGUGGAACUGAUCAAAUUAAAUCAAAUGGGCUUUUAUUUUGGUAUCUGGCAAAAAUAUAAAGAAGUAAUCAUUCAGUAAUAUUCUAAAGUAUAGUUUAAUGUCUUCUCAACAACAUCCCUUGCUUAUUUUUAUGGAUGAGAUAAAAAUUUUAAGGAUCUAAGAUUUUUAGAUUUAGACAAUACUUUCAUUCAUAUAUUUAAAAAAAUAGUCAAGGCCAAGUAACUUUAAAAGAUUUAACCUGAUUCAUUUGGUGAUUUUGUGUUUCACUUUGUAGUGUUUGUUUAACUUUGUUUCACUUUAAAUCAACUUUGGAUUCACUCCCAGUGU
This is a long non-coding RNA of Cheilinus undulatus (humphead wrasse), 1524 nucleotides long. RefSeq lists it as uncharacterized. The record is from RefSeq and is a predicted model, not a curated record. NCBI's taxonomy places the organism in Eukaryota, Metazoa, Chordata, Actinopteri, Labriformes, Labridae. The transcript has 3 exons.